RNAcentral lists this transfer RNA (77 nucleotides) under bacterium. RNAcentral's name for it is "tRNA-Ala". It matches the Rfam family "tRNA". Rfam says of the family: Transfer RNA (tRNA) molecules are approximately 80 nucleotides in length. Their secondary structure includes four short double-helical elements and three loops (D, anti-codon, and T loops). The record is from RNAcentral.
GGGCCUGUAGCUCAUUUGGCUAGAGCACAUCAUUAGCAAUGAUGAGGUAAGGGGUUCGAUCCCCCUCAGGUCCACCA